RNAcentral lists this ribosomal RNA (254 nucleotides) under uncultured bacterium. RNAcentral describes it as "partial 16S ribosomal RNA". It matches the Rfam family "Bacterial small subunit ribosomal RNA", at positions 524 to 776 of the family's 1533-position model. The record is from RNAcentral.
UACAGAGGUCCCGAGCGUUGUUCGGAUUCACUGGGCGUAAAGGGUGCGUAGGUGGUGAGGUAAGUCGGAUGUGAAAUCUCCGAGCUCAACUCGGAAAUGCAUUGGAAACUACCUUGCUUGAGGGUUGGAGGGGGGGACUGGAAUACUUGGUGUAAGCAGUGAAAUGCGUAGAUAUCAAGUGGAACACCAGUGGCGAAGGCGAGUCCCUGGACAACUCCUGACACUGAGGCACGAAAGCUAGGGGAGCAAACAGG